This 465-nucleotide ribosomal RNA is filed under the name uncultured bacterium. RNAcentral describes it as "partial 16S ribosomal RNA". It matches the Rfam family "Bacterial small subunit ribosomal RNA", at positions 28 to 507 of the family's 1533-position model. The record is from RNAcentral.
GACGAACGCUGGCGGCGUGCUUAACACAUGCAAGUCGAACGGAAAGGCCCUGCUUGCAGGGUACUCGAGUGGCGAACGGGUGAGUAACACGUGGGUGAUCUGCCCUGCACUUCGGGAUAAGCCUGGGAAACUGGGUCUAAUACCGGAUAGGAGCCAUUUUUAGUGUGAUGGUUGGAAAGUUUUUUCGGUGUAGGAUGAGCUCGCGGCCUAUCAGCUUGUUGGUGGGGUAAUGGCCUACCAAGGCGGCGACGGGUAGCCGGCCUGAGAGGGUGGACGGCCACAUUGGGACUGAGAGACGGCCCAGACUCCGACGGGAGGCAGCAGUGGGGAAUAUUGCACAAUGGGCGCAAGCCGGAUGCAGCGACGCCGCGUGGGGGAGGACGGCCUUCGGGUUGGAAACUCCUUUCGCUAGGGACGAAGCUUUUUGUGACGGUACCUAGAUAAGAAGCACCGGCUAACUACGUG